This 1347-nucleotide ribosomal RNA is filed under the name uncultured bacterium. RNAcentral describes it as "partial 16S ribosomal RNA". It matches the Rfam family "Bacterial small subunit ribosomal RNA". The record is from RNAcentral.
GAGUUUGAUCCUGGCUCAGAUGAACGCUGACGGCAUGCCUUACACAUGCAAGUCGAACGGCAGCACGGGAGCAAUCCUGGUGGCGAGUGGCGAACGGGUGAGUAAUAUAUCGGAACGUGCCCAGUAGUGGGGGAUAGCCCGGCGAAAGCCGGAUUAAUACCGCAUACGACCUAAGGGUGAAAGCGGGGGAUCGCAAGACCUCGCGCUAUUGGAGCGGCCGAUAUCAGGUUAGCUUGUUGGCGGGGUAAAAGCCCACCAAGGCGACGAUCUGUAGCUGGUCUGAGAGGACGAUCAGCCACACGGGGACUGAGAUACGGCCCCGACUCCUACGGGAGGCAGCAGCUAGGAAUCUUGGGAAUGGGCGAAAGCCUGACCCAGCAACGCCGCGUGGGCGAUGAAGGCCUUCGGGUCGUAAAGCCCUUUUGUAGGGGACGAUGAUGACGGUACCCUGCGAAUAAGCCACGGCUAACUACGUGCCAGCAGCCGCGGUAACACGUAGGAGGCGAGCGUUAUCCGGAUUCACUGGGCGUAAAGCGCGUGCAGGCGGUUUGGUAAGUUGAUCGUGAAAGCUCCCGGCUCAACUGGGAGAGGUCGUUCAAUACUACCGAACUAGAGAGCAGAAGAGGAAGAUGGAAUUCCCGGUGUAGUGGUGAAAUGCGUAGAUAUCGGGAGGAACACCAGUGGCGAAGGCGAUCUUCUGGUCUGUUUCUGACGCUCAGACGCGACAGCUAGGGUAGUAAACGGGAUUAGAGACCCCGGUAAUCCUAGCCGUAAACGAUGUGAACUUGGCGUCGGUGGCUUAAACACCAUCGGUGCCGAAGCAAACGCGAUAAGUUCACCGCCUGGGGACUACGGCCGCAAGGUUAAAACUCAAAGGAAUUGACGGGGGCCCGCACAAGCAGCGGAGCGUGUGGUUUAAUUCGAUGCUACACGAAGAACCUUACCCAGGCUUGACGUACAGGUGGUAGGGAUCCGAAAGGUGACCGACCCGCAAGGGAGCCUGAACAGGUGUUGCAUGGCUGUCGUCAGCUCGUGUCGUGAGAUGUUCGGUUAAGUCCGCUAACGAGCGCAACCCUCGCUGCGUGUUAUACGUGUCACGCGGGACCGCCGGUAUUAAGCCGGAGGAAGGUGGGGAUGACGUCAAGUCAGCAUGGCCCUUAUGCCUGGGGCUACACACACGCUACAAUGGUCGGUACAAUGGGUUGCCAAGCCGCGAGGUGGAGCCAAUCCCCCAAAGCCGACCUCAGUUCAGAUUGCAGGCUGCAACUCGCCUGCAUGAAGCCGGAGUUGCUAGUAAACGCGCGUCAGCUAUAGUGCGUUGAAUACGUUCUCGGGCCUUGUACACAC